RNAcentral lists this ribosomal RNA (419 nucleotides) under Bacillus amyloliquefaciens. Its description in RNAcentral is "bacterial SSU rRNA". It matches the Rfam family "Bacterial small subunit ribosomal RNA", at positions 89 to 493 of the family's 1533-position model. Lineage: Bacteria; Bacillati; Bacillota; Bacilli; Caryophanales; Bacillaceae. The record is from RNAcentral.
AUGUUAGCGGCGGACGGGUGAGUAACACGUGGGUAACCUGCCUGUAAGACUGGGAUAACUCCGGGAAACCGGGGCUAAUACCGGAUGGUUGUUUGAACCGCAUGGUUCAGACAUAAAAGGUGGCUUCGGCUACCACUUACAGAUGGACCCGCGGCGCAUUAGCUAGUUGGUGAGGUAACGGCUCACCAAGGCGACGAUGCGUAGCCGACCUGAGAGGGUGAUCGGCCACACUGGGACUGAGACACGGCCCAGACUCCUACGGGAGGCAGCAGUAGGGAAUCUUCCGCAAUGGACGAAAGUCUGACGGAGCAACGCCGCGUGAGUGAUGAAGGUUUUCGGAUCGUAAAGCUCUGUUGUUAGGGAAGAACAAGUGCCGUUCAAAUAGGGCGGCACCUUGACGGUACCUAACCGGAAGGCCA